GACGAACGCUGGCGGCGUGCUUAACACAUGCAAGUCGAACGAUGAAGAAGAGAAACGCGAACUUCGGUUCAACUUUCACUUCGGAUUAGUGGCAGACGGGUGAGUAACGCGUGAGCAACCUACCUCUUACAAAGGGAUAGCCUCGGGAAACCGUGAUUAAUACCAUAUGACACAUUCAUAAGGCAUCUUAAGAAUGUUAAAGCUAUGGCGGUAAGAGAUGGGCUCGCGUCCCAUUAGCUAGUUGGUGAGGUAACGGCCCACCAAGGCGACGAUGGGUAACCGGCCUGAGAGGGUGAACGGUCACAUUGGAACUGAGACACGGUCCAAACUCCUACGGGAGGCAGCAGUGGGGAAUAUUGCACAAUGGAGGGAACUCUGAUGCAGCGACGCCGCGUGAGCGAUGAAGGAAUUCGUUUCGUAAAGCUCUGUUCUAUGGGAAGAAAAGGACUGUACCAUAGGAGAAAGCCCCGGCUAAAUACGUG
Molecule: ribosomal RNA, 482 nt
Filed under: uncultured bacterium
Lineage: Bacteria
Description: partial 16S ribosomal RNA
Rfam family: Bacterial small subunit ribosomal RNA
Source: RNAcentral